GCGUGCGACAAAUGGCGGACAAAACAAAGUAAGCGACGAGGUGCAAGAAAUGGAGUCCCCAGCUGUGUGGAGCUUGAGGUGAACAUGGCCAAAAUUUGUGGGGAAAGCAUUGUAAGGCAAGAUCCAACCAGAGGCUUCGGUAUGAGGUUGGCAAGUGCCCCGGUUUACCCACAAGUACUGUUGGAGAAUGAUGUUGGUCCUCUUCCCUUGCCUGUUGAACCCCCUACAUAUAUUCAUUGCAUUACAA
Molecule: long non-coding RNA, 247 nt
Organism: Haliotis rubra (blacklip abalone)
Lineage: Eukaryota; Metazoa; Mollusca; Gastropoda; Lepetellida; Haliotidae
Exons: 3
Source: RefSeq, a predicted model, not a curated record